GCGACUUUAGCUCAGUUGGGAGAGCGUUAGACUGAAGUUCUAAAUGUCCCCCGUUCGAUCCGGGAAGUCGCA
This 72-nucleotide transfer RNA is filed under the name Thamnocephalis sphaerospora. It matches the Rfam family "tRNA". From Rfam's summary of the family: Transfer RNA (tRNA) molecules are approximately 80 nucleotides in length. Their secondary structure includes four short double-helical elements and three loops (D, anti-codon, and T loops). Further hydrogen bonds mediate the characteristic L-shaped molecular structure. tRNAs have two regions of fundamental functional importance: the anti-codon, which is responsible for specific mRNA codon recognition, and the 3' end, to which the tRNAs corresponding amino acid is attached (by aminoacyl-tRNA synthetases). tRNAs cope with the degeneracy of the genetic code in two manners: having more than one tRNA (with a specific anti-codon) for a particular amino acid; and 'wobble' base-pairing, i.e. permitting non-standard base-pairing at the 3rd anti-codon position. The record is from Rfam by way of RNAcentral. Lineage: Eukaryota; Fungi; Zoopagomycota; Zoopagomycetes; Zoopagales; Sigmoideomycetaceae.